UCUAAGCACACGCCUCGAUACGGUGAAGCCGCGAAUAGCUCAUUACAACAGCCAUUGUUUAUUAGAAUAUCGUUAUUCCUACUUGGAUAACUGUGGCAAUUCUAGAGCUAAUACAUGCGAAAAAGCUCUGACCUUUUUACGAAGGGACGAGCGCAUUUAUUAGAAUAAAAACCAAUCGACCCUCGGGUCGUCCAUUUGGUGAAUCUGAAUAACUUGGCCAAUCGCACAGUCCUAGCACUGGCGAUGUAUCUUUCAAGUGUCUGCCUUAUCAACUUUCGAUGGUAGGUUAUACGCCUACCAUGGUAGUAACGGGUAACGGAGAAUAAGGGUUCGACUCCGGAGAGGGAGCCUGAGAAACGGCUACCACA
Molecule: ribosomal RNA, 368 nt
Filed under: Nematoda environmental sample
Lineage: Eukaryota; Metazoa; Nematoda
Description: bacterial SSU rRNA
Rfam family: Eukaryotic small subunit ribosomal RNA
Source: RNAcentral